AGACGUCUACAUUAGACUACCCCCGUAGUCCCAGCCGUAAACUAUGCGCGUUAGGUGUAUCGGUGACCACGAGUCACCGAGGUGCCGAAGGGAAACCGUGAAACGUGCCGCCUGGGAAGUACGGUCGCAAGGCUGAAACUUAAAGGAAUUGGCGGGGAGCACAACAACGGGUGGAGCCUGCGGUUUAAUUGGACUCAACGCCGGGAAGCUCACCGGAUAAGACAGCGGAAUGAUUGCCGGGCUGAAGACUCUGCAUGACUAGCUG
RNAcentral lists this ribosomal RNA (265 nucleotides) under uncultured archaeon. RNAcentral describes it as "partial 16S ribosomal RNA". It matches the Rfam family "Archaeal small subunit ribosomal RNA", at positions 715 to 982 of the family's 1478-position model. The record is from RNAcentral.